UGGGUUCUGAACUCGAGAGAAUCAAAACAACUUUUAGUGGCGAAAUAAAUUCUCCACUAAUAAUCAAAAUUUUCCCACUAAAAAUUAUAUUAAUGGGAAAAAAAUCACUAGCAAUAUCUGCUCCGCAAAAAAAAAAAAUUAAAAUUUGUAACAAAUUUUUCAUACCAAUUUGCAUUUAAUCUUGAUAUUAUAAAUUGUAAUGAACUUGUACAAAUUAAUGUCAUGAAAAUAUUAAAUUCUCUAUACUAUUGAGAAAAAUAAUUUAUAUACAUAUAUUUGAUGGUUUUCUAAUUCCACAUUCCACAAUAAAUGGAUUAAACAUCAAAUUCUCAGAAAUUGAAUGGGUAAGGGAUGCUUGAGAUAAUGAACAAAAGGAGAAAGAAUUGAAAGGAUGAUUAGUCCCAUCAUCUUCUUGGUAGUUGAAUGUAUGAUAGGCAUCAAUAAGCCGCUCUGCUUUAAGUCCUGAAUCUGAUAGAAUGCAGCAGAAAGCUUUCCCUGCAUAACUGAAAUGGUGUGAAUGUCAUACUCUAGCUUGAUAAUAAUUAUAAAUCUUGGCAUCAUGAUUUUCCAAAGUCGCUUUCUUGUAAAUUUGUGCCGGGUUAACACAUUCACCAUAAAGGUAUUCAGAUGUAAGCAUCUCUAAAACACACCUACCAAAUUGAGUAAACAUCAACAAGCUUAUUGUAAUCCCAUUCGUAUAAUUCUGGUGCCAUGAAUUCUAGGGUGCCUAACAAAUGCUACUGCAAGUUAAGAAAUAAUAUAAUUAGCUAAAAUGGACAUAAUCGUUUAGGUGUUUCAAUGAGAGUAAUUAACAAGUACCUAUGACAUUAUGUGCUGAUUGAGAACCCUGUUGGAUUGCUGCAAGGCCAUCGACAAAAAUCAUUUUCCAAUUAUUCCAAGAAUUUAUAAUGCACAAAAAAAGAAAGUGAAAGUGAAAGUCAGAGUUUGUCAAUCAAGUGGAUAAAGAAAUUCAACUAAAAUUGUCAAUCAAGUGGAUAAAGUAAUUCAACUAAAAUUGUUUAAACUCAUAUAAUAGACAGUCUAAACACAUUACACCUUUCAGUUGCAGGCUAUUUGGCUUGAAAUAUCUCUGAAAUUAAUCUUUCUUGCAGCCUUGAGGAGUGCUGAAACAACUGUUUUGAAUUAUGCACAAUCUACCAAUGCUGCCCUUAUGACUAAAGUGACAUUAUUUCUUAGCUCCUUUGCAAUCUAAAGAUUAUUUGUGAUGACAGAUGCAUUUUACAACACUACCAUAUCGCACAUUUGGGUGUGUGCAUUAACUGUCAACACUACCAUAUGGCACUAGAAUAAGUAAAAAAUACAUUAGAGAUGAUUCAGUGAAGUAAGAAGAGACCACUGGCAAAUAAUUCAUCACAGCCAUAUUAGAUAAACUAAUUCAAGGUCAAUCAUUAGGCACUUUAAAGCGAUUUUUGCAAGUUUAUGCAUGCAAUCUAAUAUCUUUUGAUCAAUUGAAUUGUUUGGAUCAAAUUAGAAAUUCUUUCCGCAAGAGCUGUUGUUCCUAAUUUUCCAAACCAUCAAAGACUUGGACCAACAAACUGAUAAAGAGCUUAUGCAUAACUGAAGGCAGGUUGUACAUGACUUUCGUAUCCAAGCAAUAGGUAACAUUCAAAAUAAUUGCAGAUCCAUUAAUUAAUGUGAAAGGGCAAUGGGUAGAGAGAUCAGAACAGUUAUUUAAAAGUCUCAAAAAAUUCAAUGGAUAAACCAUUCCACUAAUGUGAAGUUUGUCUCACCAGUCAUAUAAAACGCAUAAGAAGGAACAGUGCCUGACAAGAUAAACAUCUAUGGGA
RNAcentral lists this unclassified non-coding RNA (1808 nucleotides) under Hevea brasiliensis (rubber tree). Lineage: Eukaryota; Viridiplantae; Streptophyta; Magnoliopsida; Malpighiales; Euphorbiaceae. The record is from RNAcentral.